Molecule: ribosomal RNA, 253 nt
Filed under: uncultured bacterium
Lineage: Bacteria
Description: partial 16S ribosomal RNA
Rfam family: Bacterial small subunit ribosomal RNA
Source: RNAcentral
UACGGGGGGGGCGAGCGUUGUUCGGAAUUACUGGGCGUAAAGGGUUUGUAGGUGGCCUGCUAAGUCGAACGUGAAAUCCCCGGGCUCAACCCGGGAACUGCGUCCGAUACUGGCAGGCUUGAAUCCGGGAGAGGGAUGUGGAAUUCCAGGUGUAGCGGUGAAAUGCGUAGAUAUCUGGAGGAACACCGGUGGCGAAGGCGGCAUCCUGGACCGGUAUUGACGCUGAUGCGCGAAAGCCAGGGGAGCAAACGGG